CCUACGGGUGGCAGCAGUGAGGAAUAUUGGUCAAUGGCCGGAAGGCUGAACCAGCCAAGCCGCGUGAGGGAGGCAGGCGCAGAGCGUCGCAGACCUCUUUUGCCGGGGGACAAAAGGCCGGACGGGUCCGGUUCUGAGGGUACCCGGAGAAAAAGCAUCGGCUAACUCCGUGCCAGCAGCCGCGGUAAUACGGAGGAUGCGAGCGUUAUCCGGAUUCAUUGGGUUUAAAGGGUGCGCAGGCGGGCCUUUAAGCCGGCGGUGAAAUCGCGGGGCUCAACCCCGCCGGGCCGUCGGAACUGGGGGCCUUGAGUGCGGCGGAGGCAUGCGGAAUGCGCGGUGUAGCGGUGAAAUGCAUAGAUAUAAGGAAGAACACCAGUGGCGAAGGCGGAUGACUGGACUGUAACUGACGUUGAGGCUCGAAGGCGUGGGGAGCAAACAGGAUUAGAUACCCUAGUAGUC
This 459-nucleotide ribosomal RNA is filed under the name uncultured bacterium. Its description in RNAcentral is "partial 16S ribosomal RNA". It matches the Rfam family "Bacterial small subunit ribosomal RNA", at positions 338 to 795 of the family's 1533-position model. The record is from RNAcentral.